UUCGGGGUGCGUAAAAACGCUGAGAUUACACCCGUUAAACCUGAUCUAGGUAGUGCUAGCGAAGGGAAAAUC
Molecule: non-coding RNA, 72 nt
Filed under: uncultured Bifidobacterium sp.
Lineage: Bacteria; Bacillati; Actinomycetota; Actinomycetes; Bifidobacteriales; Bifidobacteriaceae
Description: TPP riboswitch (THI element)
Rfam family: TPP riboswitch aptamer (THI element)
About the family: Vitamin B(1) in its active form thiamin pyrophosphate (TPP) is an essential coenzyme that is synthesised by coupling of pyrimidine and thiazole moieties in bacteria. The previously detected thiamin-regulatory element, thi box was extended, resulting in a new, highly conserved RNA secondary structure, the THI element, which is widely distributed in eubacteria and also occurs in some archaea.
Source: RNAcentral